CAGAGACAUUUGAGGUUAUUAGUUAUUGAAUAAUAAUAAUUUAGUAAUUUAUGAGCUAAAAUGCAGAAAAGUUCUCUUAUAGCGCUUGGGUUUUCCUUCAUGCUUACUAGCUUUUCAUGGUCUUUGGGCGCCAUUGGCAAAUCGGGCUACUCUUGGAAAGUUCAAGUGGGUUCACAAGUGCAUAAUUAUUCACUCGGUCUAUGGGAUUUUUGCCUGGAUGAUGAUUGCAGGAUUUACAGUCAUGAUGACCUGCUAGAAUUGGGAGAGAAAUUCUCAUUUCGAAUAAAAAUAGCUCGUGCUUGUUUCCUAACUGGCUUCGUAGCUUCUGCUGCUACCAUGUGGAGUUUCUUAUUGUUCUCGGACAGUUGUUUAAUUGGGGUGACUAUCACUGUCGCGGUAAUUAAUGUGUGUCUUCUAAUUACAGCCAAUGCAUUCCACACACUUGCCUACAGUUCAGUUCCUGCUUCCGGUCUGUUUGGGUGGAGCUUCCUGAUGCCUUGGGCAGCCACGCCAUCCGCCU
Long non-coding RNA from Symsagittifera roscoffensis, 520 nucleotides. RefSeq lists it as uncharacterized. The transcript has 3 exons. NCBI's taxonomy places the organism in Eukaryota, Metazoa, Xenacoelomorpha, Acoela, Convolutidae. The record is from RefSeq and is a predicted model, not a curated record.